Patella vulgata (common limpet) is the source of this 437-nucleotide long non-coding RNA. RefSeq lists it as uncharacterized. Lineage: Eukaryota; Metazoa; Mollusca; Gastropoda; Patellidae. The record is from RefSeq and is a predicted model, not a curated record. The transcript is spliced from 5 exons.
CGAAAAAAGCGACAGCUGUAACAUAUACAUAACUUUGAUCAAUUUUAUUGUUCCAUUUUGUUUCCCGUUGACUUGUGUGGUGAUAACACCUGUGGUAAUCCAGAUGGAUGUUGUAGAGUACGUCCAGUUCCAGAGUCACCUGAUUGUGGUGAAACUUGUGUUGGAAGACAACAACUGAUCUGUAUCUACAGAAACUGUCACGCCUCUGUUUGUGAUGAUGGUCUAUCCACCUGUUAUGACGUCAGUGAUUCCAGCUGUGUUCUGCUCUGUUCUGAACCAUAAUAAAUAUAAAAUCAUUAGACCAGACAACCAGCAGUAUAUUCUACAAUCACAGAAAUCUUAAACAUUCUUCUACUGUCUAUACAAGUUUUAAUAUAUCACAUGUCAAUAUUACCAACCUUCUACAAGUAUUAAUAUAUUACAUGUCAAUAUUACCA